CCAAUAGCGUAUAUUAAAGUUGUUGCAGUUAAAAAGCUCGUAGUUGAAUUUCGGGAUCAGUACGCUGGUCGUGCCUUCGGUAUGCACUGGUUUCACUGAUUCCUCCCUUCUGAAGAACCGUAAUGCCAUUCAGUUGGUGUGGCGGGGAAUCAGGAUUGUUACUUUGAAAAAAUUAGAGUGUUUAAAGCAGGCUCGCGCUU
Molecule: ribosomal RNA, 200 nt
Filed under: uncultured Glomus
Lineage: Eukaryota; Fungi; Glomeromycota; Glomeromycetes; Glomerales; Glomeraceae
Description: partial small subunit ribosomal RNA
Rfam family: Eukaryotic small subunit ribosomal RNA
Source: RNAcentral